UUCUAAGUGUGGAUGAUUGUUGAGUGAA
This 28-nucleotide non-coding RNA is filed under the name Rattus norvegicus (Norway rat). The record is from RNAcentral. Lineage: Eukaryota; Metazoa; Chordata; Mammalia; Rodentia; Muridae.